This 243-nucleotide unclassified non-coding RNA is filed under the name fungal sp. RNAcentral's name for it is "partial internal transcribed spacer region". The stretch from base 1 to 46 matches the Rfam family "Eukaryotic small subunit ribosomal RNA", at positions 1786 to 1831 of the family's 1831-position model. The record is from RNAcentral. Lineage: Eukaryota; Fungi.
AAGUCGUAACAAGGUCUCCGUUGGUGAACCAGCGGAGGGAUCAUUAUCGAGUGUAAAAACUCCCAACCCUUUGUGAACCUUACCCAAGUUGCUUCGGCGGUGCCGCCCCGGGCGCUGACUCGCUCAGUGCCCCGGAACCAGGCGCCCGCCGGGGGACCGAAACUCUUGUAUUACCUAUGGUAUUCUCUGAGUGGAUUUAUACAAAUCAAAUCAAAACUUUCAACAACGGAUCUCUUGGCUCUG